This is a long non-coding RNA of Perca flavescens (yellow perch), 169 nucleotides long. RefSeq lists it as uncharacterized. Lineage: Eukaryota; Metazoa; Chordata; Actinopteri; Perciformes; Percidae. The transcript has 3 exons. The record is from RefSeq and is a predicted model, not a curated record.
UAUGUUCCUAGGCUGGAUAACAGUAGACUCAUAGAAAUUGUUCCUAGAGAUGUAAACAUGAAAGGCAAAUUCAUUCAGCAUUUCACAGCAGGACCAGUCAAGUUCUCGUCGGAGUGCAGGACACACUUUCAUAGACUUUAUCACAACACAAGGGAUUGCUCAAGACCAG